GACUAUCAAAAAUGGAUAUAUCGCCUCUCGCAUUAAAAAAGAACAUAGUGAAAUGCGAUACUUGGUGUGAAUUGUAGAAUCCCGUGAACAAUUGAGUCUUUUAACGCAAGUUGUGCCCAAAGACAUUAGAUAGAGGGCAGGUCUGCCUGGGCGUCA
This 156-nucleotide ribosomal RNA is filed under the name Solanum lycopersicum (tomato). RNAcentral describes it as "5.8S ribosomal RNA". It matches the Rfam family "5.8S ribosomal RNA". Rfam says of the family: 5.8S ribosomal RNA (5.8S rRNA) is a component of the large subunit of the eukaryotic ribosome. Lineage: Eukaryota; Viridiplantae; Streptophyta; Magnoliopsida; Solanales; Solanaceae. The record is from Rfam by way of RNAcentral.